RNAcentral lists this non-coding RNA (146 nucleotides) under Sulfobacillus thermosulfidooxidans. RNAcentral also lists the same sequence under 1 other name. The record is from RNAcentral. Lineage: Bacteria; Bacillati; Bacillota; Clostridia; Eubacteriales; Clostridiales Family XVII. Incertae Sedis.
GCUCAAUCUAGCCCGAGAGGUGCUUGCCGCUGGCAAGAGAAUAGGGAAUCAGGUGAAAGGCCUGAACGGUCCCGCCACUGUAAUUCCAUCAGUGCUGUUGCUGUUGAUGGAAGAGUCAGGAGACCUGCCUUUGGGGUUAAGACAUC